This 329-nucleotide unclassified non-coding RNA is filed under the name soil metagenome. Its description in RNAcentral is "partial contains 5.8S ribosomal RNA, internal transcribed spacer 2, and large subunit ribosomal RNA". The stretch from base 1 to 120 matches the Rfam family "5.8S ribosomal RNA", at positions 35 to 154 of the family's 154-position model. The record is from RNAcentral.
GAUGAAGAACGCAGCGAAAUGCGAUAAGUAAUGUGAAUUGCAGAAUUCAGUGAAUCAUCGAAUCUUUGAACGCACAUCGCGCCCCCUGGUAUUCCGGGGGGCAUGCCUGUUCGAGCGUCAUUACAACCCUCAAGCUCUGCUUGGUAUUGGGCCCCGCCAGUUCUGGCGGGCCCUAAAGUCAGUGGCGGUGCCUUCCGGCUCCGAGCGUAGUAAUUCUUCUCGCUCUGGAGACCCGGUUGUGUGCUUGCCAACAACCCCCAAUUUUUUAAGGUUGACCUCGGAUCAGGUAGGGAUACCCGCUGAACUUAAGCAUAUCAAUAAGCGGAGGA